AUUGAACGCUGGCGGCAGGCCUAACACAUGCAAGUCGAGCGGAUGAAGGGAGCUUGCUCCUGGAUUCAGCGGCGGACGGGUGAGUAAUGCCUAGGAAUCUGCCUGGUGGUGGGGGAUAACGUCCGGAAACGGGCGCUAAUACCGCAUACGUCCUGCGGGAGCAAGUGGGGGAUCUUCGGACCUCACGCUAUCAGAUGAGCCUAGGUCGGAUUAGCUAGUUGGGGGGGUAAAGGCCUACCAAGGCGACGAUCCGUAACUGGUCUGAGAGGAUGAUCAGUCACACUGGAACGGAGACACGGUCCAGACUCCUACGGGAGGCAGCAGUGGGGAAUAUUGGACAAUGGGCGAAAGCCUGAUCCAGCCAUGCCGCGUGUGUGAAGAAGGUCUUCGGAUUGUAAAGCACUUUAAGUUGGGAGGAAGGGCAGUAAGUUAAUACCUUGCUGUUUUGACGUUACCAACAGAAUAAGCACCGGCUAACUUCGUG
RNAcentral lists this ribosomal RNA (484 nucleotides) under uncultured bacterium. RNAcentral describes it as "partial 16S ribosomal RNA". It matches the Rfam family "Bacterial small subunit ribosomal RNA", at positions 30 to 507 of the family's 1533-position model. The record is from RNAcentral.